Molecule: non-coding RNA, 461 nt
Filed under: Schistocephalus solidus
Lineage: Eukaryota; Metazoa; Platyhelminthes; Cestoda; Diphyllobothriidea; Diphyllobothriidae
Description: Eukaryotic large subunit ribosomal RNA
Rfam family: Eukaryotic large subunit ribosomal RNA
Source: Rfam by way of RNAcentral
UGAUCAGAAACGCAAAUAUGCGCACGCACACACCACGAUAAGACCCGAAAGAGGGUAAACUAUGCCUGCAUAGGGUGAAACCAGAGGAAACGCUGGUGGAGGACCACAGCGAUUCUGAAGUGCAAAUCGAUCUUCAAACGUGAGUAUAGGCAAAAAAACGAAUCGAACCAUCUAGUGGCUGGUUCCCUCCGAAUUUCCCCCAGGAUAGCUGGCACUCAUUCGUAUGAUCAGCUUUAUUCGGGAAAUCGAAUGAUUAGAGGUACUGGGAUUGAAACGAGCUCAGCCUAUCCUCGAAUUUUAAAUGGGUGAGAUGCCAAGCUCACUUUAUAGGAAUCGGGCGCUGAAUCUGCGAGUGCCAAGUGGGCCCUUUUGGUGAGCAGAACUGGCCCUUUGGGAUGAAUCAAACGCAACUAGGGGCUAAUAAGAGAAGUCCUAAGCAAUACAUCUAACCGAAGUUCAGA